AGUGAACGCUGGCGGUAGGCCUAACACAUGCAAUUCGAACGGCAGCACAUUAAGAGCUUGCUCUUACGGGUGGCGAGUGGCGGACGGGUGAGGAAUACAUCGGAAUCUACUUUUUCGUGGGGGAUAACGUAGGGAAACUUACGCUAAUACCGCACACGACCUACGGGUGAAAGCAGGGGAUCUUCGGACCUUGCGCGAUUGAAUGAGCCGAUGUCGGAUUAGCUAGUUGGCGGGGUAAAGGCCCACCAAGGCGACGAUCCGUAGCUGGUCUGAGAGGAUGAUCAGCCACACUGGAACUGAGACACGGUCCAGACUCCUACGGGAGGCAGCAGUGGGGAAUAUUGGACAAUGGGCGCAAGCCUGAUCCAGCCAUACCGCGUGGGUGAAGAAGGCCUUCGGGUUGUAAAGCCCUUUUGUUGGGAAAGAAAAGCAGCAGGUUAAUACCCCGCUGUUCUGACGGUACCCAAAGAAUAAGCACCGGCUAACUUCGUG
RNAcentral lists this ribosomal RNA (492 nucleotides) under uncultured bacterium. Its description in RNAcentral is "partial 16S ribosomal RNA". It matches the Rfam family "Bacterial small subunit ribosomal RNA", at positions 29 to 507 of the family's 1533-position model. The record is from RNAcentral.